Molecule: ribosomal RNA, 404 nt
Filed under: uncultured Bicosoecida
Lineage: Eukaryota; Bigyra; Bicosoecida
Description: partial small subunit ribosomal RNA
Rfam family: Eukaryotic small subunit ribosomal RNA
Source: RNAcentral
GCUUGUCUCAAAGAUUAAGCCAUGCAUGUCUAAGUUUAAAUAGAAAACAGUGAAACUGCGAAUGGCUCAUUAAAUAAUUUUGCAUAUACAAGAUAGUCAACUCUACUUGGAUAACCGUAGUAAUUCUAGAGCUAAUACAUGCGCAAAUUCCCGACUGUCGCAAGGCGGAAAGGAUGUAUUUAUUAGAUCCAACCAGCCCGGUUCGCCGGAGUCCCUGGUGAGUCAUAAUAACUGAGCGAAUCGCAUGGCCUUGUGCCGGCGAUGGUUCAUUCAAGUUUCUGCCCUAUCAGCUUUCGAUGGUAGGGUAUUGGCCUACCAUGGCGUUAACGGGUAACGGAGAAUUAGGGUUCGAUUCCGGAGAGGGAGCCUGAGAAACGGCUACCACAUCCAAGGAAGGCAGCAGG